Paramacrobiotus metropolitanus is the source of this 1650-nucleotide long non-coding RNA. RefSeq lists it as uncharacterized. The transcript has 3 exons. The record is from RefSeq and is a predicted model, not a curated record. Lineage: Eukaryota; Metazoa; Tardigrada; Eutardigrada; Parachela; Macrobiotidae.
CCGGAUGUCUGGUCGUGGUCCAGUUCCUUGACUCUGCAGUUUCGAUCGGAUUGGAGAGAUAUUUGUGAAGAACUAAUACUGGAGAAUGUCUACAUCAACGGGCUGAUGUUUGUGGAUGCCGAAUCGUGCAGAUGUAACCGGGAAGCUUUUGCUGGACCUUAUUGCGACAGGUUUCAUUUUCGGGACUUGGAUACCACGGUUGACCCUAAUCCAUUGUGCCGAACAUACAAUUCACCCAUCGGACGCUUAGGCAAGCACGUUAUCACCACAAAUCAAGACGAACAAAUGCAGAGUGCAAGGAAGAUACUGGAAGAUAACUGCCAACCGAUGAGCAAUGAAGUUCUUCAAAUGUUACAAAGCCGGUUAGACAAGCAUUCUAUACCGCAGAACAUCCUGUUACAGUUGUUAAGACAGUGGCAAGCCAGUGACCCACGUUUUACGGAUAACCUGGGUAAUCCGUUGGCGCAUGUACGACUUCGUGCCUUGCGAAAGUUAACCUUGUUCGCACUGCGCUGGUACCUGGACAGCAAUAAUAAUGAAAAAAAUCUUUUACAUCAGCAGCGAAGUAACUCAGAGAUGAAUCUGUCUAUCGAAUCACGCCUCAUAGGAAGUAUGAAUGUGAGCGACACUUACCGGUUAGAUUUCGUCAAAAGAUUGAUUGAAGGCACAACCAUUCAUUAAAUCCGCGUCAUCUUUAAUUUCCCUUUCCUGUACACCACAGCCCCGUUCACUGCUCCCGUGAAUGCCACAGUUACGCCGCCAUCUUUCACUUUAAACGGAAAUUUCGGCGGACGGAUCUCCAACUCCAGCGUUUCGCCAUUUUUCCAAACUAUCACCUGUUACCAACCAAUCCAAGAGAGCAGCUUCUUCGGUCGUCGACCAGCGGUGAUUUUUUCCGUGAGUCUGCUUUGUAUGCCUCUCUACCAUCAUGGAAUUUACCAUUUCCGCUACGUCCUCGGCAAUGUCAACCGCGUUGGGUACGCUUUCCGGAACACUGCCACCUUCACCGGUUCUGCGAAGUCUGGUUGCAGGACUGCGGCUGUCAGUUUAGCGUUCCGCCCCUUGAUGGCAAUGGCCCUCCGUAUUAUACCAGCAUUUAUCCGCAAGUAAUCGACGAUUUUCCACUGGCGACAGUUGUCCGGAUUCUGAAACCACUCCACCAGGCAUCGGUUCUCAGCUUCCGACCAGUACCAAGUGAUAUUGUCGCAGGCACUCGGAGGCAGGCACUAGCGCAGACCUUCUCAGCUUGACGGGUUUUGCAGGAGCAUCAAGGUGUGCAAGACCAUCGAAGAUGGAUCUCCUAGCUGCUAUCGGUUACUAUCUGCAGUGUCCUCGCUAUCCGGAAACCGAUUCGUCGACGUGCCAGGUUAUUUUCCUUUCUCCCGGGUAAACCGGGAGCUACGGUCAUUGAGAGAUGUAACGGAUUGUUGUGCUGUUAGCACCGUAAGACCAAAUUUUGAAAGCUGUGCUGACAAUGACAAUAUUGUACCGAGUCACCGUGGACAGCGGCUAUCGUGGUUUUGAGUGUCUGUCGAAGCAUAUUGGUAAUCAGUAAUAGUAAUUACUGAUUACCAAUAUGCUUGGUCUGCAUGCUCGUUAGUACGCGUAUUAUUAUGACCGCAUCUGUGUGAAGAUAUUUAUGGCCAUAUG